Molecule: ribosomal RNA, 333 nt
Filed under: Triticum aestivum (bread wheat)
Lineage: Eukaryota; Viridiplantae; Streptophyta; Magnoliopsida; Poales; Poaceae
Description: partial small subunit ribosomal RNA
Source: RNAcentral
AUGAACGAGCUCGGCGUCCUCUACUGCCACAUGGUGGAGCCGAGGAACGGGACCCUGUGCAGCCUUCUGCCUUUCAGGAAGGCGUUCAAAGGUACAUUCAUCGUGAACGGGGGUUACGACAGGGAGGGAGGAGAUGUGGCUGUCGGCGAUGGCUAUGCCGAUCUGGUCUCGUACGGGCGGCUCUUCCUGGCGAACCCCGACCUGCCGGAGCGGUUCAGGAAGAGGGCGGGCCUGAACGAGUAUGACCGGAGCACGUUCUACACCUCCGAUCCGGUGGUCGGCUACACGGACUACCCUUUCCUUGCUCAGGGGCAGGGGACACGAGUUAGCUAA